Molecule: ribosomal RNA, 434 nt
Filed under: Microbacterium sp. oral taxon 185
Lineage: Bacteria; Bacillati; Actinomycetota; Actinomycetes; Micrococcales; Microbacteriaceae
Description: bacterial SSU rRNA
Rfam family: Bacterial small subunit ribosomal RNA
Source: RNAcentral
GAUGAACGCUGGCGGUGCUUAACACAUGCAAGUCGAACGGUGAAAGAGAGCUUGCUCUCUGGACCAGUGGCGACGGGUGUAACACGUGAGCAAUCUGCCCCUGACUCUGGGAUAACAGCUGGAAACAGCUGCUAAUACCGGAUACGAGUUGCGAAGGCAUCUCGCAGCUGGAAGAAUUCGGUCAGGGAUGAGCUCGCGGCCAUCAGCUUGGUGAGGUAAUGGCUCACCAGGCGUGACGGGUAGCCGCCUGAGAGGUGACCGGCCACACUGGGACUGAGACACGGCCCAGACUCCUACGGGAGGCAGCAGUGGGGAAUAUCACAAUGGGCGAAACCUAUGCAGCAACGCCGCGUGAGACGACGCCUACGGGUGUAAACCUUUUAGCAAGGAAGAAGCGAAGUGACGGUACUUGCAGAAAAGCGCCGCUAACUACC